Molecule: ribosomal RNA, 480 nt
Filed under: uncultured bacterium
Lineage: Bacteria
Description: bacterial SSU rRNA
Rfam family: Bacterial small subunit ribosomal RNA
Source: RNAcentral
CUGAUUAGCUAGUUGGUGAGGUAAAGGCUCACCAAGGCGACGAUCAGUAGCUGGUCUGAGAGGAUGAUCAGCCACAUUGGGACUGAGACACGGCCCAAACUCCUACGGGAGGCAGCAGUGGGGAAUCUUGCGCAAUGGGCGAAAGCCUGACGCAGCCAUGCCGCGUGAAUGAUGAAGGUCUUAGGAUUGUAAAAUUCUUUCACCGGGGACGAUAAUGACGGUACCCGGAGAAGAAGCCCCGGCUAACUUCGUGCCAGCAGCCGCGGUAAUACGAAGGGGGCUAGCGUUGCUCGGAAUUACUGGGCGUAAAGGGAGCGUAGGCGGACUGUUUAGUCAGAGGUGAAAGCCCAGGGCUCAACCUUGGAAUUGCCUUUGAUACUGGCAGUCUUGAGUACGGAAGAGGUAUGUGGAACUCCGAGUGUAGAGGUGAAAUUCGUAGAUAUUCGGAAGAACACCAGUGGCGAAGGCGACAUACUGGUC